GAUAAGACUACUAAGAUACCUACCCUAGUAUACAUAUGAUGUGCAUGGCCCAUUUGAUGAGCCAGACAAGGAGGUUAUCACUACUUCAUCACCUUUAUCGAUACAGUCAUGGUAUAGGUAUAUGUAUGUGAGAUACAAAUCUGAAAGACUUUGAAAGGUUCAAAGAAUUCAGAUGUGAAGUAGAAAAGUAAAUUGAAAAAACUCUAAAGGUCCU
Molecule: long non-coding RNA, 214 nt
Filed under: Elaeis guineensis (African oil palm)
Lineage: Eukaryota; Viridiplantae; Streptophyta; Magnoliopsida; Arecales; Arecaceae
Description: long non-coding RNA (EGUI_LNC054599)
Source: RNAcentral